CGUCCUUAUAGAGGGAAUCUGCAGCUCGACCGACAGACCUGUCCGGGUCAGUGGUUACCUCCCUCACCUCGAGGCCACCUUUGCAGAGGAGUUCCUCCAUCUCCUCCCAAGCCCAAGUGAACUCCCAAUGGUAUGGUGCAUUGGUAGAUUUGCCCCACACACCCCAGGACUGCAGUGGUCGUUAGCAGUACCCUCAUCAAACUUUCACGUUGGAGGGGGAGUGUUGGUAGAAAGAAGGAUUUUCCUCAUCCCAUCAUUGCCUAUAGGGUUUGACUGAGGCCAACCUGAAGCCCGUAGUUAAUAGUAGCAGCUUUCCUACCCGGGGAUUUGGUCUCGACUCUCUACCUCCUCAUAUAGAUUGUACCGCCUUGAUACAUAUAGACACUUACAACAUCGAAGGCCCAUCCUGCUUCCCAAACCACGCCUCUCUUCGGAUGCCAGAUCCCACUCAAGCGGUCCAUCGCAUCCCCGAUUCCCUUGCUGGUGGAGAGAGAUCACCUCAUUCCACAUCUCGGCUGUUUUUCCAAGGUGUAGCAGUCGAUGAGAAUUGUGAUUGGCCAAUCUAGGCACUUUGGAGGGCUUUCAACUUUCGGUCUCGUUGGCCUAAGGAGAUGGUGGCACAUGGGCCACACGAGCAUUUCCUGCCCUUCCACACUAUAGGAGUUUCCGAAACCAUCUGAUGCAUCUGCUGGGACAGUCUGUUGUACCGUGCAGUCAUCCAUAAAUCCAAAUAUGCUCAAAAGUCUGAAAGUCAUUCACUCUGUCUAAAAGUUGGUCGCGGUAAGGUGUCAUCAGUUCAGAUGGUCACAGUAUCCAAGACGCUGAGGUUGCAGGACUCAAAUUUCAUACAUUCACUCGGUGGUCUUGCCUAUUCCUGGAAUUGCUGUCACUGGGCUCAAUUUCAUAGACUUCUGUGUAAAUUCUUUUCCAGUUGACGCCAUUUUAUCUAAAAAUAGUAACAUAUGGAAGGCACGAUCCGUUCGAAUUUGUUAUGUCAAGUAAACGUUGACAUGAAGGUGAAUACACUGGAUCUUAGCAAUGUCAAUUGGAAGUAACUGAUUAAGUGGAAUAGCUACUGAAUCGGAACUGACAAUGACCGAAACGCUAUUUUUCCAAAUAGACGCUGUAUUAUAACAGAUAAGAGAAAGAGAAGUAUAAGCCCCAAUGGCUGCAGAGCUUUGGCAAACACUUUUAAACCAGUUUUUGCGUAUACUUUUGCUUGUGAACCAGCCUUCAAAUAUUCCUUCCAACAUGAUGGUAGGAGCUCCAUGUUAAAACAGCGUACUUCCAGAUUGAUUGCAGUAAAUGGAUGUCAUUGGUCCUUUUCAUGUGAAUUCAGAAGUUUUUGGAAUAAGACCAUUGUCAUAAGACUACUUGGUGCUUUCCGCACAAGAUGGCAAAGUAUUUUGUGACUGUCAAGAGGAGCUUUUUUGAGGAAGAUGAGAGAUGUGCAAAGGCACAUAUCAAGCACUUGUCCUCACUUUGCCUUGCCAAUGACCAAAUAAAUGGUGGACUACAGUAUCUGAAGAUUUUUUAAGGAGUUGAAUGGCAUGCAGACCUCUGACUAUGGCUGCUAAAUCAAAGCUUUGCAGUUUUAUGUGAAGAAUUAAAAAAAUAUAUAGGAGUAUGUAAAGAAAUAUUGUAGCUGUAAAUGGAAGUAACUUCUUUCUAUUUUCAUCUAUAUUAAAAAAAUAUUUCCAUAAAUAUACACUGAGUAGUCAAAAAAGUUGCAAAUGUAAACUGUACAUCUAAAAGUCUAAGGCCAUGUGAUUGAAAUAAUUUUGAUUCUAAAAUUGUGAAAAGUAUGUUCAUUGUAUAUAAAAUUAAGGCAGUCAUUUUCAAUAGUUAUUUAAGGAAUAACUGUCAAGUUAGUAGAGUACAAACGAUAGUUAAAAUUGUCAGAUAAUUUGUAUAAGAGUGAAGCUAACUAACUAGACAGUGAUUCCUUAUAUUUCCUUUUCAUUGUGAAAUAUAAUUUUCAAAUUUAGAUUUUAAAAAUAUAAACAAAUAGAUUCAAAUUACACAAGGCCACCCGUGUCAAUUUCAAUAGUCACCACCCAUUCAGGUCAAACACAAAGACAGCACACAAGAUUUACAUGCAUGUGGACCUUAGAAUAAGACGCAAAGGCAGAUGCUCAAGAUGGAAAUAUUUAAAUGUUAAUACAGUGUACUAGCCUAACUAAAGGUACCUUAUGAUUGUUGAUGUACAGUUAUUCAAAUAUCAUUUUGCAAUUGUAGAUACAGAAUUUGGAUUUAUAGGCAUUUACUAUCUAUGUCAAUUCAACAAAAUUUAUUUUCAUGUACUAAAAAGAUACGAGUUGAAUUGAAUAUUUUCUGUUACACACAUGUAUGUUGAUGUAGCUUGUAAAUGAAACACGUCUAGCCUGUGUUUGUUUCCUUGUCUUUUCUGUUAAUACUAAAGGAAAAAAAUGUUUUUAAACUAUAACUAUAUUCCACUUAAAUUAAGCUCAGUAAGUAGAAUUUUUAUAUCUAUCAUAAGCCAUUUGAAUUUAAAAACAUGUAUUUUUAUUUCUUCUGCAUUCUACACAGGGAAUCUUCAGUUGAACAUGUAUCCCACCUUCUUUAAUAUUAAAUUUAAAAAAAAAACAUUAAUUCCACUGAGAAAAAAUAGAUUGCAAUGGUAAUCUAAUUUUUUGGUUUGGUAUUUUUUUUUUUCCUAAGCCUUCCAUUUUUUUUUAAUUCUAAAUUGACAUAUCAGUAUCACCAGAGAAAUGUAUAAGAUAUCAUGUUCCAGAAAUUAAAUGUUUUAUGAUCUAUGAAGUAUACAAUAUAUUUGUCAAUGCAUGUUUUUUUUUUUUUAGUCAACAAUUUAUUUCCCCCUUCAGAAGCAGACUGUUAGAUCUAUAAAAAUUGCAUUGUUUACAUUUGAUUUCCAGGUAUUACUAAUUUUACAAACUGCAUGCAAACAAUAUUUUGACUUUGCUUAACUUUAAUUUUAAGGUACUCUCUAAACCAUUGGGGUGGGUAUAACCUAUACAUUGCUUCUUUUUCAAAAGUCGCAAGAUAAACAAAAAACAAGAGGCCCAUGGGCCACAUCGCUCACCUGAGUAACUUGGGUGAUGUAGUUCUUUACCAGAUUCCCCAUCUUGCUAUACCUAUCAUGCCUCACUACCCACUUCCCUUUUAUGAUUUUAAAACUUUAGAAUCUACACUAUCCCAGGAUGCUUCCACAUAAGUUUCAGCAUUCCUGGCCCAGUGGUUCUUGAGAAAAAAGAUUUUUAAAGAUAUGUUCUAUAUAAAACUUGAAUUCCCUAUUUUGGCUCCACCCUACCCCCAGGGGGUCAUGAUUUUAACAAUUUAAUAUCUACACUACUCAAAGAUGCUUCCACAUAAGUUUCAGCUUUCCAGGCCCAGUGUUUCUUGAGAAGAAGAUUUUUAAAGAUUUGUUCUAUAUUUCUAUGUAAAAAUUGGAUUCCCUAUUGUGGCCCCGCCCUACCCCCGGGGGUCAUGAUUUUAACAA
This is a long non-coding RNA of Saccostrea cuccullata (small rock oyster), 3481 nucleotides long. RefSeq lists it as uncharacterized. The transcript is spliced from 9 exons. Lineage: Eukaryota; Metazoa; Mollusca; Bivalvia; Ostreida; Ostreidae. The record is from RefSeq and is a predicted model, not a curated record.